RNAcentral lists this ribosomal RNA (770 nucleotides) under uncultured organism. RNAcentral describes it as "bacterial SSU rRNA". It matches the Rfam family "Bacterial small subunit ribosomal RNA", at positions 571 to 1351 of the family's 1533-position model. The record is from RNAcentral.
GUAGCCGGUUGUAUAAGUCUGCUUUUAAAGACCGAAGCUCAACUUCGGAAGGGGGGCAGAUACUGUGCAGCUAGAGGUGAUUGGAGGUUAGUGGAAUUUCCGGUGGAGGGGUGGAAUCUGUUGAUAUCGGAAGGAAUGCCAAAAGCGAAAGCAGCUAACUAUGAUUUUUCUGACGGUAAAGGACGGAAGUGUGGGUAGCAAACAGGAUUAGAUACCCUGGUAGUCCACACUGUAAAUUAUGUUCGCUAGGUGUUGGUUUCUUUUGAAAUUAGUGCCGUAACCUAACGGGUUAAGCGAACCGCCUGGGUAGUAUAGUCGCAAGGCCGAAACUCAAAGGGAUAGGCGGGGAAACACACAAGCGGUGGAUUGCCUUAAUUAAUUUGAUAAUAAGCAAAGAAUCUUACCUGGGCUUGACAUCCUUGGAAUCUUUUGGAAACAAGAGAGUGCUCUGCUUGCAGAGAACCAAGUGACAGGUGUUGCAUGGCCGUCGUCAGCUCGUGCUGCAAAGUGUCCGGUUAAGUCCGGAAACGAGCGCAACCCUUAUUCUUAGUUAGAAUGUCUAAGAAGACUGCCUGGGCAACCAGGAGGAAGGAGAGGAUGAUGUCAGGUCAUUAUGGCCCUUACGUCCGGGGCGUUAGAGGCAAUACAAUGGGUAGUACAAUGGGAAGCGAAGUUGUGAAAUGGAGCAAAUCCUUUAAAGCUAUCCUAAGUGCAGAGUGUAGUCUGGAACUCGACUACAUGAAGUUGGAAUCGCUAGUAAUGGCAAAUCA